This 1435-nucleotide ribosomal RNA is filed under the name uncultured organism. Its description in RNAcentral is "SSU rRNA". It matches the Rfam family "Bacterial small subunit ribosomal RNA". The record is from RNAcentral.
UGAUGAACGCUAGCUACAGGCUUAACACAUGCAAGUCGAGGGGCAUCAGGAAGAAAGCUUGCUUUCUUUGCUGGCGACCGGCGCACGGGUGAGUAACACGUAUCCAACCUGCCCUUUACUCGGGGAUAGCCUUUCGAAAGAAAGAUUAAUACCCGAUAGCAUAAUGAUUCCGCAUGGUUUCAUUAUUAAAGGAUUCCGGUAAAGGAUGGGGAUGCGUUCCAUUAGGUUGUUGGUGAGGUAACGGCCCACCAAGCCUUCGAUGGAUAGGGGUUCUGAGAGGAAGGUCCCCCACAUUGGAACUGAGACACGGUCCAAACUCCUACGGGAGGCAGCAGUGAGGAAUAUUGGUCAAUGGGCGCUAGCCUGAACCAGCCAAGUAGCGUGAAGGAUGAAGGCUCUAUGGGUCGUAAACUUCUUUUAUAUAAGAAUAAAGUGCAGUAUGUAUACUGUUUUGUAUGUAUUAUAUGAAUAAGGAUCGGCUAACUCCGUGCCAGCAGCCGCGGUAAUACGGAGGAUCCGAGCGUUAUCCGGAUUUAUUGGGUUUAAAGGGAGCGUAGGUGGACUGGUAAGUCAGUUGUGAAAGUUUGCGGCUCAACCGUAAAAUUGCAGUUGAUACUGUCAGUCUUGAGUACAGUAGAGGUGGGCGGAAUUCGUGGUGUAGCGGUGAAAUGCUUAGAUAUCACGAAGAACUCCGAUUGCGAAGGCAGCUCACUGGACUGCAACUGACACUGAUGCUCGAAAGUGUGGGUAUCAAACAGGAUUAGAUACCCUGGUAGUCCACACAGUAAACGAUGAAUACUCGCUGUUUGCGAUAUACAGUAAGCGGCCAAGCGAAAGCAUUAAGUAUUCCACCUGGGGAGUACGCCGGCAACGGUGAAACUCAAAGGAAUUGACGGGGGCCCGCACAAGCGGAGGAACAUGUGGUUUAAUUCGAUGAUACGCGAGGAACCUUACCCGGGCUUAAAUUGCAGUGGAAUGAUGUGGAAACAUGUCAGUGAGCAAUCACCGCUGUGAAGGUGCUGCAUGGUUGUCGUCAGCUCGUGCCGUGAGGUGUCGGCUUAAGUGCCAUAACGAGCGCAACCCUUAUCUUUAGUUACUAACAGGUUAUGCUGAGGACUCUAGAGAGACUGCCGUCGUAAGAUGUGAGGAAGGUGGGGAUGACGUCAAAUCAGCACGGCCCUUACGUCCGGGGCUACACACGUGUUACAAUGGGGGGUACAGAAGGCAGCUAGCGGGUGACCGUAUGCUAAUCCCAAAAUCCUCUCUCAGUUCGGAUCGAAGUCUGCAACCCGACUUCGUGAAGCUGGAUUCGCUAGUAAUCGCGCAUCAGCCACGGCGCGGUGAAUACGUUCCCGGGCCUUGUACACACCGCCCGUCAAGCCAUGGGAGCCGGGGGUACCUGAAGUACGUAACCGCAAGGAUCGUCCUAGGGUAA